CAGUUUUUUCCACGUAAUUUUGAAAUACAGUUUAAAAUUGUAAAAUUACAGAAAGAGACUGUAAAUUUACAUAUCUUAUGUAAAAUCACAUGAAAAACAUGUCAAUGUGCAUAACGUCCCAAAAAUAUUUUUGAAGAUUUAUUUCACAUAAUGCGCUAUAUUUAUAUGUAGUAUGUGCAGUAUGUGUGUGUGUGUGUACGUGUGUGUGUGGCAUUAAUAAUAUAAUGCCAUAUUUUUUAAUAGAUUAAAAAUAUAAAUAACAACUGUACAAAAGUUAACGUUCAUUAUUAUUAUUAUUAUUAUUAUUACUAUUGAUAUAAUAUGUUGUAUAUGUAGCCUACAUUGCGUGUUUGCAUAAAAGAGCAGGUUAAUCCUUUUUUGAACAGGUUUGUUGAAAAAUCCUUCUCGAAAGAAUCGUAUUUCCAAAGUACUGUCAACUGACCACAUCUUCUUCCGCUUGUCAAAAUAGUUCUGCUCAGUUUGGUGUUUUAUUACGGAUUUAUUCUCAUAGUACCGUUUCAUAAUUUGAUAUAAUAAUAUAAUAAUAUGCUGAUAUUAAAAUUAAAAAAAAUAAAAAAUGUAAUAUUCGAACUGAAGGAAUUCCCGCCCUAGCGCAAGGACACAUUCUCCUCCAAGCACGCAGUGGAGCUGCUGGGCGCGCAGAAGGAAUAACUCGACCUUCAGUUUCACGGUCAAUCUUCAAUCUGAGGCGAAAAUAAGCAGAUAAGUUCAGUGAGUGCUAAAACCAUGGUCAACAUGAAAGGUCAUAGUUAACGACCACAUCACCAUCUUCUGCAACGCUCUGAUGUUUGCUUCAUACAACUGCUUGAACAUUUCAUACCCAGGAAACCAAGGAGAAACGCAAGAGAUUGUGCAAAGAUUCCUUUUUAAGAUGAACCCCGAGAAGGGAUCGAAAGUGGAGAAGACCACAUCGAGAAAGAAAUCAGCAGUCAGUCCAAAGGUUCUUUCACUGAUUAACAAGAUUGCGGACUUUGAAAGGAUGGAGUAAAACUUGGAGUGUCAGAUCUUCCUACAUUGCCUAGCAGAAAUUCUUGACAGUGUCAAAGACUUAAAAUACUUGCUGAUUAUUUGCUUUCAUGGUUGAUUUUUUUUUUUUUUAAUGCAUCAUCUGUUGUCAAGAUGAAUUAAUCUGUUCACAGGUGGUUCAGUUUUAAGGACAAAUUAAUUCUUAUUUUUUAUUUGUUUACCAAUUUGCUAUAUUGUUGCAGUUUUGAACAAUUCUUUUGUGUGUUGUUGCAGUUAUUAAAUAUAUAUAUAUAUAUAUAUAUAUAUAUAUAUAUAUAUAUAUAUAUAUAUAUAUAUAUAUAUACUGUUGCAGUUAUGAAAAAAAACUGAAUUGUAUGUGGUUGCAGUUGUGAUCUAAUUUAAACUUUUGGGCUUUUUUUUUUAUUGGAAUAUUGUUGCAGUUUAGCUAUAAUCUCUAUACUGGUAUAUUGUUGCAGUUUUGUACAAAGAAUAUUAGUAAAUUGCAGUCCUGAACAAACUAUUUGUAUAUUCUUGCAGAUUGGUCAAUAAAUUAUUAAAACACA
Carassius gibelio (silver crucian carp) is the source of this 1550-nucleotide long non-coding RNA. RefSeq lists it as uncharacterized. Lineage: Eukaryota; Metazoa; Chordata; Actinopteri; Cypriniformes; Cyprinidae. The transcript is spliced from 4 exons. The record is from RefSeq and is a predicted model, not a curated record.